UCCUCACUAGUCAAGUUUUUAAGAAUCAUAAUUUUUUAAAAAGAUUUAAAAGACUCUGGCUCAUUUUCCUAUUCUUAUGUCAUAAAAUCAAUUCAAAAUAUAAGCAGCACUGGGCUUUCUCCUCUGCUUCUGUUCACUGGCUCUCUGUGGCUAUUUAAAUCCUGUUCAGCAAUUUCUCUUUGACUUUUUAAACCCAUUGGAACUUUACUUUUGUGAUUUCAUAUUCAUGGCUUCCUUAGGUUUUUCCUAUUGUAGACAAUAGUCUCUUUUUAGUUUAUUAUUCCUACCUGAAUCCCUGAUAAUUUUUUGUUCUUAUAACUAUACACAUACGAGUUGCUUUUCCAUCUGUCUCCCUCUUUUCUUCUUUUCAGGGUUUCCUAAACUCCCAUCAGAUGCUCAUUGGUGAAUUAUUACCACUAAGGAUUAAGAUCGAACACCCACAAAUGGCUAUUUGCAUACAAUAAAAGAAGUAUGGUGGGAGAUUAUCAGGGCUUCUGGCUAAUUCUAUCCCUCUCCAGGACAAACACCAGCAAAUCAUCUGGUAAUUGGGGGAAGGCCAUGGAGACAACAUGGGAGGAAUUAAGCAAGUGGAAGAUAUCACCCUCCAGUGACUAAAGGCUCAAUACAUCAGUAUGCCCAGAAACUCCGUAAGUCAAUGGGUAAAUUAGUACCCUGUCAGGAGGAAUAAAUGAUUGGCUAUGAAUAGGAGAGGGCACGAGGGAGGAGCAAGGAGAAAGGAAAAUCUUCUUUCAUAAAACAAAACAAAACAAAAUAAAACCCCUAUCAACCUUCACAAUAUCUAAAAAAAAAAAAAAAAGACUAUUAUCUAAGGAAACAUGAAAAUGAAAAGAUAUGAUUUUUUAAAGGAAACAUUUAAAGGCCACUAGGGGAGGAGGAAGUCAACUUCAGGAACACUAGCAAUGAGAAGAGAUGAAAACCUCAUGUAUGAAAAGCCUUCACCUCUCCCUGGAGUAACUUCAGAAAAUACAUGGGUCCAUUAGGGAGUUAGGUGGUGAAAAACAUUUGACUCUCUUGGAGAGAACUGCCCCCAUGGCAGAUAUUUCUAGAGGUAAAAGAGAACAGAGGGAAUCAGAGAAGAUUAGAAGAGGUAAAGUAUAUUUUGUUGAAAUUAAACUUGCAGGUAAAUGAUUCCAUGUUGAAUGGCUUAUUUUGGGAUCAGAUUUUAACAAAGCAUCAGAUACUAUGAACAAAGCC
Molecule: long non-coding RNA, 1215 nt
Filed under: Canis lupus familiaris (dog)
Lineage: Eukaryota; Metazoa; Chordata; Mammalia; Carnivora; Canidae
Description: lncRNA (ENSCAFG00040014293.1)
Source: RNAcentral